This 138-nucleotide small nucleolar RNA is filed under the name Ornithorhynchus anatinus (platypus). The record is from RNAcentral. Lineage: Eukaryota; Metazoa; Chordata; Mammalia; Monotremata; Ornithorhynchidae.
CCCCUCUCAGGGUCGUACCUGAAGAGUUUCCAGUAUUCUACCAGUCAUGACAACAAGAGGGAGAGUCGAGCAGAGGCAUAUCCAUUCCAUUCCUAGCUUGGCCAAUGGCUAGUUAGUGGAAGCCAAUCUGCUACAAGU